RNAcentral lists this long non-coding RNA (3270 nucleotides) under Patiria miniata (bat star). Its description in RNAcentral is "uncharacterized LOC119744257". Lineage: Eukaryota; Metazoa; Echinodermata; Asteroidea; Valvatida; Asterinidae. The record is from RNAcentral.
AAUGGAAAGUUUACCCCCAAUUCAUUAUCAAACAAAAAUAAUGGUCAUAAAUUCCAUAGUUUGUUCAUAUCCCUUUUAUAAAUUGGACGUAUUGUAUGAUACAGUGACAUAUCUUAUUAGAAAUAGAGAAGAACCACAUGCGACGAGAGACCUUUCACCAUGACCCCUUUUAGUUUAAUUAUAGUUAAUAAGGUUCAAUAUUGCAAUAUCUGUGUGAUCAGUGCGCUGCUAAAAUAAAUAACCAGUUUAUUGAUUGCCUUUUUAAUAGCCAGACGGCCAUGGAUAUGGGAUAUUGCUUCCUGGCGCUUAUCAAACACUCGCAAUAAUUAGGCACAGGGUAUUUUCAAGAUUGUUAUAGUUUGCCGAAGUUCAUAAAAGAUUGAUAUAGGCCUAAAACAUAUCUUUUUGCUUUUUUUAUACAGGCGAUAAAGGUGAUGAGGUAUCUACACAGAUUUGCACCAACAGAAUCUGCUAACACACUGCUGUAUGUCUUUGUACAUGAGGUCCUGAUAUGUUUCAUGAUGAAACAGGAAACGCUGAACCGACUGCAGGCGGAGCUGGUUCUGUCGGAUGGCCUCCAGUUACGAGACGCAGACACACCAGCUCAUGUGCUGGACCAUUCAUAUACCUAGCAUGGGUAGGGUGUGAUGUAGAGGUAACAUACCAAAUUGCCGCAGUAUGUAUGAAAUUCAACUCUGGGUCACAGGAUACUUUGGUCACAAAUAUAGUAUAAUUUCACACAUCAUGAGAAUUAAUUUCGAAGUGAUUAGAAUUGAAUCUCUGAAUCUAAUCAUAUAACAAAAUUUGUCAUUCGAGAAAUUGUAAUGAUAUGGUAUUUUCUUCUGCCAAUGAAUUGCCAGCAUUUUUGCAGCGAUUUUCUGCCGAAUCCUGUAAUUGUAUAAAGAUUACUUAUUUUGUUACGCCGAAACUUGUACAAAUAACUUGCCAAAGUGAACGUCAAUCAGAUUUAUGAGCACAAAUAUGACCAGAAAAUUAGUGUCUUUGCAGCAAUUUAUACCGAAUCCGGUAACUGUAGGAAGAUUUCUGAUUUCGUCACGUCGAAACUUGUAAUUUGUAAGUUUUUUUUUACGAUUUUUUCAGCCAAGUACAAAUAACUGGCCAAAGUGAACGUCAAUCAGAUUUAUUAGCACAAAUAUGACCAGAAAAUUAGUGUGUUUGCAGCGAGAUAUACCGAGUCCGGUGAAUGUAAGAAGAUUUCUAAUUUCGUCACGCCAAAACUUUUGCAGCGAUUUAUACCGAAUCAUGUAAUUGUAUAUUAUGAAGAUUACUAAUUUCGUCACGCCGAAACUUGUAAUUUUUAAGUUUUUUUACGAUUUCUUGAGCCAAGUACAAAUAACUCGCCAAAGUGAACGUCAAUCAGAUUUAUUAGCACAAAUAUGACCAGAAAAUUAGUGUGUUUGCAGCGAUUUGUACCGAAUCCUGUUAUUGUAGGAAGAUUUCUAAUUUCGUCACGCCGAAACUUGUAAUUUGUAAGUUUUUUAACGAUUUCUUCAGCCAAGUACAAAUAACUUGCCAAAGUGAACGUCAAUCAGAUUUAUAAGCACAAAUAUGACCAGAAAAUUAGUGUGUUUGCAGCGAUUUGUACCGAAUCCUGUUAUUGUAGGAAGAUUUCUAAUUUCGUCACGCCGAAACUUGUAAUUUUUAAGUUUUUUACGAUUUCUUGAGCUAAGUACAAAUAACUUGCCAAAGUGAACGUCAAUCAGAUUUAUAAGCACAAAUAUGACCAGAAAAUUAGUGUGUUUGCAGCGAUUUGUACCGAAUCCUGUUAUUGUAGGAAGAUUUCUAAUUUCGUCACGCCGAAACUUGUAAUUUGUAAGUUUUUUAACGAUUUCUUCAGCCAAGUACAAAUAACUUGCCAAAGUGAACGUCAAUCAGAUUUAUUAGCACAAAUAUGACCAGAAAAUUAGUGUGUUUGCAGCGAUUUAUACCGAAUCCUGUAAUUGUAGGAAGAUUUCUAAUUUCGUCACGCCGAAACUUGUAAUUUUUAAGUUUUUUAACGAUUUCUUCAGCCAAGUACAAAUAACUUGCCAAAGUGAACGUCAAUCAGAUUUAUAAGCACAAAUAUGACCAGAAAAUUAGUGUGUUUGCAGCGAUUUGUACCGAAUCCUGUUAUUGUAGGAAGAUUUCUAAUUUCGUCACGCCGAAACUUGUAAUUUGUAAGUUUUUUAACGAUUUCUUCAGCCAAGUACAAAUAACUUGCCAAAGUGAACGUCAAUCAGAUUCAUAAGCACAAAUAUGACCAGAAAAUUAGUGUGUUUGCAGCGAUUUAUACCGAAUCCUGUAAUUGUAGGAAGAUUUCUAAUUUCGUCACGCCGAAACUUGUAAUUUUUAAGUUUUUUACGAUUUCUUGAGCUAAGUACAAAUAUCUUGCCAAAGUGAACGUCAAUCAGAUUUAUGAGCACAAAUAUGACCAGAAAAUUAGUGUGUUUGCAGCGAUUUGUACCGAAUCCUGUUAUUGUAGGAAGAUUUCUAAUUUCGUCACGCCGAAACUUGUAAUUUGUAAGUUUUUUAACGAUUUCUUCAGCCAAGUACGAAUAACUUGCCAAAGUGAACGCCAAUCAGAUUUAUUGAUACAUAUAUGACCAGAAAAAAAUAGUAUCUUGCAGCGAUUUGUACCGAAUCCUGUAAUUUUAGGAAGAUUUCUAAUUUCGUCACGCCGAAACUUGUAAUUUGUAACUUUUUUAAAGAUUUCUUCAGCCAAGUACAAAUAACUUGCCAAAGUGAAUGCCAAUUGGAUUGACAAGCAGCCAUUUUCCCCCCGAAUCCUGUGAAUGUAUGAAGAUUACUAAUUUCGUCACGUCGAAACUUGUAAUUUACAUAUUUAUUAAAGAAUUCUUAAUUUUAGAAUUGUUUGAAUAUCAAAUUGGAUGUAUGAACAUAUUUCUGAUAGGACAAUUAUUUUUUUGAAUGAAUUGAAACCGAAUCCUGGAAUUUUAUUAAUUUAGUAUUUCUAAGUUAGUUACAGCCAAGUGAAUGUCAGUUGCACUCAUAAGCACUCAUAAGUAACUGAAUCAAUUUGAAGCGAUUUAAACCAAAUCCUGGAAUUGUAUUAAGAUUACUAAUUUCGUCACGUCCAAACUUGUAACUUACAAUUUUGUUAUACUAUGUUUGCCUUUAACCAAGUCCAAAUAACCUGCCAAAGUGAAUAUCAAUAAGAUUUAUAAGCACAUAUAGGGGGCCCAUGACCAGAAAAUGAUUCGUGAAGCGAUUUAAAUCAAAUCCAGGACAAUGUCGUCAUGCCGAAACUUA